Molecule: transfer RNA, 68 nt
Filed under: Pachylemur jullyi
Lineage: Eukaryota; Metazoa; Chordata; Mammalia; Primates; Lemuridae
Description: tRNA-Lys
Source: RNAcentral
CACUGCGAAGCUAACUAGCAUUAACCUUUUAAGUUAAAGACUGAAAGUCCUGAACCUUUCCACAGUGA